This 706-nucleotide ribosomal RNA is filed under the name Paragonimus westermani. Its description in RNAcentral is "partial large subunit ribosomal RNA". The record is from RNAcentral. Lineage: Eukaryota; Metazoa; Platyhelminthes; Trematoda; Plagiorchiida; Troglotrematidae.
AGCCUUGAGGCUGCGGUGAAUCUCGUGUUUAGUGGGUGUCGUACCUUUUGCAUCAUGAUUCCUUGAAGGAGUUCGGUUAGUCUGGUGUCUCGAAAGACGGUGAUUCGGGUCUGCCUUGUUUUUAGAACUUAGGGGUUGGUGGGUAACCAAAGUUGAAAGGUAGGUCCGGAGGUGACAUGCAUUGCGUACCGUCUCAUAGCUAGUUGCCGGAGUCGAGUUUUCAAACUAUGGCCCCGUUGCUUGGAUGUGGCGGGGUUGUCAAGAGGGCUUUUUGGGUUGAUGAGUUGGCUAGGUUAGAGGUACCUUGUUUUAGCUUCGUGUUAUGACGAUUGACUCGGAUUGUUUGGGCUUUUUGGUUUAGUGCUCUGGGCUUAGGCGUAACGGUCUGUUUUCAAGUGUGGGGUAAUGAGUAGUUUGAAUGGCUUCCUUUUUUCUCGGAGAUCUCCGGUCUGUUUCUCAAAAACAUUUUCAUCAGGAAGGUUUGAUGGUAGUGCCUGCCCGAUGUUUGCAAUAAAUGGCCGCAGUAUCUUGACUGUGCUAAGGUAGCAUAAUCAGUUGCCUUGUAAUUGAAGGAUUGUUUGAACGGUUUGACCAGGGGGGUGUGUCUAGAUGGGGGCCAUCUCUGAAAUUAGGUGGCUGGUGCAGAUCCCAGCGAUUUUUAAUCAGACGGAAAGACCCCGAGAGCUUUGGCAGUUUUGUGCUUACU